Molecule: long non-coding RNA, 1842 nt
Filed under: Canis lupus familiaris (dog)
Lineage: Eukaryota; Metazoa; Chordata; Mammalia; Carnivora; Canidae
Description: lncRNA (ENSCAFG00000052845.1)
Source: RNAcentral
UUUUUUAAGAUUUCAUUUAUUUAUUCAUGAGAAUACACAGAGGAGAGAGAGAGAGAGGCAGAGACACAGGCAGAGGGAGAAGCAGGCUCCAUGCAGGGAGCCUGACAUGGGACUCGAUCCUGGGUCUCCAGGAUCACGCCCCGGGCCGAAGGCAACGCUAAACCGCUGAGCCACCCAGGCUGCCCUAGUUAUAAUCGAUUUAAACAUAACAACAAAUAUUUCCACAUUUUUCGCCACAAAUGAAGAAACAUUUAAAUGUCAGUCAUCCAUUCAAGUCAGUUCAGCUAAGAUAUCUCACUUACACACAUGAAAGAAUUGGCAUAGAUUUAAUCUAAGAUGAAGAUGGGAUAACAAAAAGAAAGUCCUAGAAUACUCCUAUGAUUGAGUAUGAAUUCAACGAAUAUCUGUUCCCCCAGAUCCUUCUCCCCAACCUUAAUUCUUUUCGUAGAAGCAGACAAGUGAACAAGUGCAACAUUCUAAUUCCAUUUACCUUCCCCAGCACAGUGCCACAUAAUGCCAGCUGCAUCAUGCCAGUUCCUGCAGACCGCUAGUCUCUUCAUCAUAGGUCCAAUGAACCAUCAAGGUCCCUUUCAAGUCAAAUAUGCUCUGGGGAAGUUCCACUGCCAGUUCCUUUCAGGAUAGACCUUGGAAAAAGCCUGGAGAGACUUUGCUCCUCCCCCUGCUCCUGUCCCAGAUCUAGAGCAGCAACCCAUCUCGGGUUAGCCAACCUGGGGUCCCUGGGUAAAUCAGGUGAGUGGAAGAGCUGGCAGACUGGUGAGUUUGGAGGGAAGACAUACACUAAGUUGCUUGCAUGUUUAUUAUUUAAUGCUUUAAAUACAGAAUUCAUUCAAAGUGCAUCAAGCAGUCCUUAAUGACCUUUAAUGGACCUCCUCCUUACAUAAUUCUCCCACCACAACCUCCCCACAAAAUGCUUGAUGCAAAAAAACAAAACACAUACAUUCUAUUAAGAAGCCUAAGAAGGGAGACAAAUGACCUGAACAUAAUUGUAUUUUAAACAAGAGGAGCAGGGAUCCCUGGGUGGCACAGCGGUUUGGCGCCUGCCUUUGGCCCAGGGCGCGAUCCUGGAGGCCCGGGAUCGAAUCCCAUGUCGGGCUCUGGGUGCAUGGAGCCUGCUUCUCCCUCUGCCUGUGUCUCUGCCCCUCUCUCUCUCUGUGACUAUCAUAAAUAAAUAAAAAUAAAAAAAAAUAAAAAUAAACAAGAGGUGCAGUUAGGUCAAUACAGCACCAAGUACGUUAAGCAGUUCUUGAAAUAAUGUAAACAUGAUCCAAUUUGCACUUUUUGCUUGCUUGGUUUUGUUUUUUCCUUUUUUUUUUGUUUGUUUGUAACAGUUUUACUAAGAUACAAUUCACCCAUUUAAAGUGUGUACAAUUCAGUGCUUUUUAGUGUAGAGUUCUGCAGCUAUCACCACAAUCCAUUUUAAAGCAUUUCAUCACCCCAAAAAGAAACUCACACCCCUCCUUAUUCUCCCACCCCCAUCAAAUCUAACUAUGUUGAUAACCAACCAAAGUAAAUUUUAUAAAUCCUUUAAAAGCUGCUUAAUAUCCAUUUUUCCUUCUUAAAGUUAUUGACUAUCUUUCUGUUCUGGUUUCUGACUGGCAAUAUUCACUACAGGGUUAGGACUAGAGAAAGUACCUAGCCUCUGGCCCAAAGUAUCAGGCAGCACUGAAGCACUCAGAUUUAUCAAGCUAUUGUAAUGCAAUAUUUAAAAAUUAUUAAUGAUUAUUUAUGACUAUUUAUGAUUUAAAAAUUAAAAUGAAUGCAAAAGCCCCAGAAUUGUAAAUAAAGGCAGAAUUCCAUAAUCCUUUUUGUGAUAAAAAGUUA